RNAcentral lists this ribosomal RNA (549 nucleotides) under uncultured bacterium. RNAcentral describes it as "partial 16S ribosomal RNA". It matches the Rfam family "Bacterial small subunit ribosomal RNA", at positions 355 to 895 of the family's 1533-position model. The record is from RNAcentral.
UGGGGAAUUUUGGACAAUUGGGCGAAAGCCUGAUCCAGCAAUGCCGCGUGUGUGAAGAAGGCCUUCGGGUUGUAAAGCACUUUUGUCCGGAAAGAAAUCCUUGGCUCUAAUACAGUCGGGGGAUGACGGUACCGGAAGAAUAAGCACCGGCUAACUACGUGCCAGCAGCCGCGGUAAUACGUAGGGUGCAAGCGUUAAUCGGAAUUACUGGGCGUAAAGCGUGCGCAGGCGGUUUGCUAAGACCGAUGUGAAAUCCCCGGGCUCAACCUGGGAACUGCAUUGGUGACUGGCAGGCUAGAGUAUGGCAGAGGGGGGUAGAAUUCCACGUGUAGCAGUGAAAUGCGUAGAGAUGUGGAGGAAUACCGAUGGCAAAGGCAGCCCCCUGGCCAAGUACUGACGCUCAUGCACGAAAGCGUGGGGAGCAAACNGGAUUAAUNCCCUGGUAGUCCACGCCCUAAANGAUGUCAACUAGUUGUUGGGGGAUUCAUUUUCCUUAGUAACGUAGCUAACGCGUGAAGUUGACCGCCUGGGGAGUACGGUCGCAAGAUU